This 890-nucleotide ribosomal RNA is filed under the name Flavopunctelia flaventior. RNAcentral's name for it is "LSU rRNA". It matches the Rfam family "Eukaryotic large subunit ribosomal RNA", at positions 34 to 940 of the family's 3401-position model. The record is from RNAcentral. Lineage: Eukaryota; Fungi; Ascomycota; Lecanoromycetes; Lecanorales; Parmeliaceae.
CUAGCAUAUCCAUAAGCGGAGGAAAAGAAACCAACAGGGAUUGCCUCAGUAACGGCGAGUGAAGCGGCAAUAGCUCAAAUUUGAAAUCUGGCCCUUUCGGGGUCCGAGUUGUAAUUUGUAGAGAGUGUUUCGGGUGAGACCACGGUCUAAGUCCGUUGGAACACGGUGUCAUAGAGGGUGAGAAUCCCGUCUGUGACCGUGGAUCGAGCCCAUGUGAAGCCUCUUCGACGAGUCGAGUUGUUUGGGAAUGCAGCUCAAAAUGGGUGGUAAAUUUCAUCUAAAGCUAAAUACUGGCUGGAGACCGAUAGCGCACAAGUAGAGUGAUCGAAAGAUGAAAAGCACUUUGGAAAGAGAGUGAAACAGUACGUGAAAUUGUUGAAAGGGAAGCGCUUGCAACCAGACCUGCCCGUAGGCGAUCAGCCGCUGUUCUCAGUGGUGCACUCGCUCUGCGAUCAGGCCAGCAUCGGUUUCGGCGGUCGGAUAAAGGCCUUGGGAAUGUAGCUCCUUUUCGGGGGAGUCUUAUAGCCCUUGGUGCAAUGCGGCCAGCCGGGACCGAGGACCGCGCUUCGGCUAGGAUGCUGGCGUAAUGGUUGUAAGCGACCCGUCUUGAAACACGGACCAAGGAGUCUAACAUCUAUGCGAGUGUUUGGGUGUCAAACCCAUGCGCGGAAUGAAAGUGAACGGAGGUGAGAACCCUUAAGGGCGCAUCAUCGACCGAUCCAGAUGUCUUCGGAUGGAUUUGAGUAUGAGCAUAGCUGUUGGGACCCGAAAGAUGGUGAACUAUGCCUGAAUAGGGUGAAGCCAGAGGAAACUCUGGUGGAGGCUCGCAGCGGUUCUGACGUGCAAAUCGAUCGUCAAAUUUGGGUAUAGGGGCGAAAGACUAAUCGAAC